RNAcentral lists this ribosomal RNA (253 nucleotides) under uncultured bacterium. Its description in RNAcentral is "partial 16S ribosomal RNA". It matches the Rfam family "Bacterial small subunit ribosomal RNA", at positions 524 to 776 of the family's 1533-position model. The record is from RNAcentral.
UACAGAGGUCUCAAGCGUUGUUCGGAUUCAUUGGGCGUAAAGGGUGCGUAGGCGGCGCGGUAAGUCGGGUGUGAAAUCUUGGAGCUUAACUCCGAAACUGCAUUCGAUACUGCCGUGCUUGAGGACUGGAGAGGAGACUGGAAUUUACGGUGUAGCGGUGAAAUGCGUAGAUAUCGUAAGGAAGACCAGUGGCGAAGGCGGGUCUCUGGACAGCUCCUGACACUGAGGCACGAAGGCCAGGGGAGCAAACGGG